GUCCAUAUUACAGUACCACUACUUCACCAGAGAAACCCUCAAAUUUACGUUUUUCCCCCCCUUCUGAAUCAUAGCGAUGGCGAGAAACACGAGAGCGAAAUCCUCGUCGUCGGAGCCAUUAUCGGACGGUUCAGAGGAGGAGCAAGUCAACGAUCUAGUCAACGAUGAGGAAGAUGAGGAGGAGCUUGAAGCUGUCGCUAGGUCAGCAGAUGAUGACGGCGAUGACGAAGCUGUUGCUGAUAGAGAAGACGGUGAUGAUGAUGAAGAUGAGGAGGA
Molecule: unclassified non-coding RNA, 276 nt
Filed under: Hevea brasiliensis (rubber tree)
Lineage: Eukaryota; Viridiplantae; Streptophyta; Magnoliopsida; Malpighiales; Euphorbiaceae
Source: RNAcentral